RNAcentral lists this ribosomal RNA (3020 nucleotides) under Campylobacter helveticus. RNAcentral describes it as "23S ribosomal RNA". It matches the Rfam family "Bacterial large subunit ribosomal RNA". The record is from RNAcentral. Lineage: Bacteria; Pseudomonadati; Campylobacterota; Epsilonproteobacteria; Campylobacterales; Campylobacteraceae.
GUAAGCUACUAAGAGCGAAUGGUGGAUGCCUUGACUGGUAAAGGCGAUGAAGGACGUACUAGACUGCGAUAAGCUAGGUGGAGCUGUCAAGAAGCUUUGAUGCCUAGAUUUCCGAAUGGGGCAACCCAAUGUAUAGAGAUAUACAUUACCAUAAUGGAGCGAACGAGGGGAAUUGAAACAUCUUAGUACCCUCAGGAAAAGAAAUCAAAAGAGAUUGCGUCAGUAGCGGCGAGCGAAAGCGCAAGAGGGCAAACCCAGUGCUUGCACUGGGGGUUGUAGGACUGCAAUGUGCAAUAGGAAAGGUUAGCAGAACACUCUGGAAAGUGUAGCCAUAGAGGGUGAUAGUCCCGUAUGCGAAAACCUAACCUUAGCUAGCAGUAUCCUGAGUAGGGCGGAACACGAGAAAUUCUGUCUGAAGCUGGGUAGACCACUAUCCAACCCUAAAUACUACUACCAGAUCGAUAGCGAACAAGUACCGUGAGGGAAAGGUGAAAAGAACGGCGGUGAGCCGAGUGAAAUAGAACCUGAAACCAUUUGCUUACAAUCAUUCAGAGCCCUAUGGAGCAAUCCAGGGUGAUGGACUGCCUUUUGCAUAAUGAGCCUGCGAGUUGUGGUGUCUGGCAAGGUUAAGCUAACGCGAAGCCGUAGCGAAAGCGAGUCUGAAUAGGGCGCUUAGUCAGAUGCUGCAGACCCGAAACGAAGUGAUCUAUCCAUGAGCAGGUUGAAGCUAGUGUAAGAACUAGUGGAGGACCGAACCCGCUAGCGUUGAAAAGCUAUGGGAUGACUUGUGGAUAGGGGUGAAAGGCCAAUCAAACUUCGUGAUAGCUGGUUCUCUCCGAAAUAUAUUUAGGUAUAGCGUUGUGUCGUAAUAUAAGGGGGUAGAGCACUGAAUGGGCUAGGGCAUACACCAAUGUACCAAACCCUAUCAAACUCCGAAUACCUUAUAUGUAAUCACAGCAGUCAGGCGGCGAGUGAUAAAAUCCGUCGUCAAGAGGGAAACAACCCAGACUACCCGCUAAGGUCCCCAAAUCUUACUUAAGUGGAAAACGAUGUGAAGUUACUUAAACAACCAGGAGGUUGGCUUAGAAGCAGCCAUCCUUUAAAGAAAGCGUAAUAGCUCACUGGUCUAGUGAUUUUGCGCGGAAAAUAUAACGGGGCUAAAGUAAGUACCGAAGCGGUAGGCUUGUGCUUAGUUAAAUUCUUUGAUAUUUUAUCAUUUAGAUUUAAAACUAACGAUAGUGGUUCUUGCCUUAGCAAGAAAGUUUUAAAAUAUUUUAGGAUAAAGAAUUUUACUAAGCACAAGCGGUAGGAGAGCGUUCUAUUUGCGUCGAAGGUAUACCGGUAAGGAGUGCUGGAGCGGAUAGAAGUGAGCAUGCAGGCAUGAGUAGCGAUAAUUAAUGUGAGAAUCAUUAACGCCGUAAACCCAAGGUUUCCUACGCGAUGCUCGUCAUCGUAGGGUUAGUCGGGUCCUAAGCUGAGUCCGAAAGGGGUAGGCGAUGGAAAAUAGGUUAAUAUUCCUAUACCAACAUUAGUGUGCGAUGGAAGGACGCUUAGGGCUAAGGGGGCUAGCGGAUGGAAGUGCUAGUCUAAGGUUGUAGGAGCUUAUACAGGCAAAUCCGUAUAAGAAUACUCCGAGAGCUGAAAGGCUUUUUGAAGUCUUCGGAUGGAUAGAAGAACCCCUGAUGCCGUCGAGCCAAGAAAAGUUUCUAAGUUUAGCUAAUGUUGCCCGUACCGUAAACCGACACAGGUGGGUGGGAUGAGUAUUCUAAGGCGCGUGGAAGAACUCUCUUUAAGGAACUCUGCAAAAUAGCACCGUAUCUUCGGUAUAAGGUGUGCCUCCCUUUGUAUUAGAAUUUACUUCGAAAGCAAAGAAGGUUACAACAAAGAGUCCCUCCCGACUGUUUACCAAAAACACAGCACUCUGCUAACUCGCAAGAGGAUGUAUAGGGUGUGACGCCUGCCCGGUGCUCGAAGGUUAAUUGAUGGGGUUAGCAUUAGCGAAGCUCUUGAUCGAAGCCCGAGUAAACGGCGGCCGUAACUAUAACGGUCCUAAGGUAGCGAAAUUCCUUGUCGGUUAAAUACCGACCUGCAUGAAUGGCGUAACGAGAUGGGAGCUGUCUCAAAGAGGGAUCCAGUGAAAUUGUAGUGGAGGUGAAAAUUCCUCCUACCCGCGGCAAGACGGAAAGACCCCGUGGACCUUUACUACAGCUUGACACUGCUACUUGGAUAAGAAUGUGCAGGAUAGGUGGGAGGCUUUGAGUAUAUGACGCCAGUUGUAUAUGAGCCAUUGUUGAGAUACCACUCUUUCUUAUUUGGGUAGCUAACCAGCUUGAGUUAUCCUCAAGUGGGACAAUGUCUGGUGGGUAGUUUGACUGGGGCGGUCGCCUCCCAAAUAAUAACGGAGGCUUACAAAGGUUGGCUCAAAACGGUUGGAAAUCGUUUGUAGAGUAUAAAGGUAUAAGCCAGCUUAACUGCAAGACAUACAAGUCAAGCAGGGACGAAAGUCGGUCUUAGUGAUCCGGUGGUUCUGUGUGGAAGGGCCAUCGCUCAAAGGAUAAAAGGUACCCCGGGGAUAACAGGCUGAUCUCCCCCAAGAGCUCACAUCGACGGGGAGGUUUGGCACCUCGAUGUCGGCUCAUCGCAUCCUGGGGCUGGAGCAGGUCCCAAGGGUAUGGCUGUUCGCCAUUUAAAGCGGUACGCGAGCUGGGUUCAGAACGUCGUGAGACAGUUCGGUCCCUAUCUGCCGUGGGCGUAAGAAGAUUGAAGAGAUUUGACCCUAGUACGAGAGGACCGGGUUGAACAAACCACUGGUGUAGCUGUUGUUCUGCCAAGAGCAUCGCAGCGUAGCUAAGUUUGGAAAGGAUAAACGCUGAAAGCAUCUAAGCGUGAAGCCAACUCUAAGAUGAAUCUUCUCUAAGCUCUCUAGAAGACGACUAGUUUGAUAGGCUGGGUGUGUAAUAGAUGAAAGUCUUUUAGCUGACCAGUACUAAUAGAGCGUUUGGCUUACUUUUAUAAAGCAU